UUUCCGUAGGUGAACCUGCGGAAGGAUCAUUUAAGUUAUAGUCCCCCGGCCCCUCCGGGCUGGGGUCUUCUAUACCACCCUUUGUUUAUUACACCUUUGUUGCUUUGGCAGGCCUGCCCUCGGGCUGCUGGCUCCGGCCGGCUCGUGCCUGCCAGAGGACCUAAACUCUGUUUGUAUAUGAAGUUUGAGUACUAUAUAAUAGUUAAAACUUUCAACAACGGAUCUCUUGGUUCUG
This 235-nucleotide unclassified non-coding RNA is filed under the name plant metagenome. RNAcentral's name for it is "partial contains small subunit ribosomal RNA, internal transcribed spacer 1, and 5.8S ribosomal RNA". The record is from RNAcentral.